This is a long non-coding RNA of Lolium rigidum, 847 nucleotides long. RefSeq lists it as uncharacterized. The record is from RefSeq and is a predicted model, not a curated record. The transcript has 2 exons. NCBI's taxonomy places the organism in Eukaryota, Viridiplantae, Streptophyta, Magnoliopsida, Poales, Poaceae.
GUGCUUUUGUUUCCUGUUUCAUUGAUGUUUUGAACCAUCAAUAACCGAGAUGGGAUUUCCGGUUGGUUUAGGGUCACGUGAAUUAUGCCUCAAUAUGUAGAGUAUUCAAAUAAAUCAUGACUUGAAGGUAUGCCGCCUUUUCCUUUUUUGUUUUUGUUUUCAUUCACUGGCUUCUAAACCUGCUCAUUCUGGUCUUGCUUCAGCUGCUUUACAUCCAUUUGUCCUUUCACCCUUUUUCUUGAGCAUACAAAGUUAGGUAUCUACUGCGGUUUUCGCUACCUUUCAUUGAGUACAUGUUACACUUUGUUGGUUUUCAAGUAUGUGUAUUGUCAUUAAAAUAGGAACACCGUGUCUUCUACAUAUAUUUUUUCAUCUAACAGGUAUACAUUUGUCAUUACAAAUUUAUCAAGAAAGGUAUUAUUGCACUCAUCCUGGAGACCAAGAUACAAAAUGUCAAGCAGCAAGCUUAUCAUUUGUGUAAGCUAGCACUUACGGAAAAGGUAUCUGUGGCUAAAUGUCCACCUGGAAAAGGAAUUACAGAGACUGAAACAGGAGCCCUUAGAAAGGGGGAAAAGAGGUCUGCGGCAUGGCUCUGCAAAGAGACAUACAUGGAAACCCAGGAAAGCAUGUAAAUAAAGAGUUGACACACAAAUAAUAUUUUUAAUUAUGCCAUAUAUUGAGGAAUACAGGCACAUGUUUCCAGUACUGAAACUCACUGUUGAUUUUAUGAUAUAUCGAAUUUGUUGUUAGCGAAGAUGGUUACUUUGGUACAUGAUCUCAUAACACCUUAAGGCAUUUAUAAAUGUAUUAUAGUAUCUAUUUGUAACACAAAACUAUUUCUUGCGGU